GUGGGUUUGUAAGUCGGGCGUGAAAUCCCUCGGCUUAACCGAGGAACUGCGUCCGAAACUGCAUGGCUUGAGGACGGAAGGGGAAGGUGGAAUUCCUGGUGGAGCGGUGAAACGCGUAGAUAUCAGGAGGAACGCCGGUGGCGAAAGCGGCCUUCUGGUCCGUUUCUGACGCUGAGGUGCGAAAGCUAGGGGAGCAAACAGGAUUAGAUACCCUGGUAGUCCUAGCCGUAAACGAUGGGCACUAAGUAGAGGGG
Molecule: ribosomal RNA, 254 nt
Filed under: uncultured Planctomycetales bacterium
Lineage: Bacteria; Pseudomonadati; Planctomycetota; Planctomycetia; Planctomycetales
Description: partial 16S ribosomal RNA
Rfam family: Bacterial small subunit ribosomal RNA
Source: RNAcentral